AACUUUCAACAACGGAUCUCUUGGCUCUCGCAUCGAUGAAGAACGCAGCGAAAUGCGAUAAGUAAUGUGAAAUGCAGAAUUCAGUGAAUCAUCGAAUCUUUGAACGCACCUUGCGCUCUUUGGUAUUCCGAAGAGCAUGCCUGUUUGAGUGUCA
Molecule: ribosomal RNA, 154 nt
Filed under: uncultured fungus
Lineage: Eukaryota; Fungi
Description: partial 5.8S ribosomal RNA
Rfam family: 5.8S ribosomal RNA
About the family: 5.8S ribosomal RNA (5.8S rRNA) is a component of the large subunit of the eukaryotic ribosome.
Source: RNAcentral